This 396-nucleotide ribosomal RNA is filed under the name uncultured bacterium. Its description in RNAcentral is "bacterial SSU rRNA". It matches the Rfam family "Bacterial small subunit ribosomal RNA", at positions 30 to 429 of the family's 1533-position model. The record is from RNAcentral.
AUUAAACGCUGGCGGCAUGCCUUACACAUGCAAGUCGAACGGUAGCGCGGGGCAACCUGGCGACGAGUGGCGAACGGGUGAGUAAAGCAUCGGAACGUGCCCUGGAAUGGGGGAUAACGUAGCGAAAGUUACGCUAAUACCGCAUAUUCUGUGAGCAGGAAAGCAGGGGAUCGCAAGACCUUGCGUUCUGGGAGCGGCCGAUGUCGGAUUAGCUAGUUGGUGGGGUAAAAGCCUACCAAGGCGACGAUCCGUAGCGGGUCUGAGAGGAUGAUCCGCCACACUGGGACUGAGACACGGCCCAGACUCUUACGGGAGGCAGCAGUGGGGAAUUUUGGACAAUGGGCGGGAGCCUGAUCCAGCCAUGCCGCGUGAGUGAAGAAGGCCUUCGGUUGUAAA